RNAcentral lists this long non-coding RNA (792 nucleotides) under Salvia miltiorrhiza (redroot sage). Its description in RNAcentral is "long non-coding RNA (SMIL_LNC002335)". The record is from RNAcentral. Lineage: Eukaryota; Viridiplantae; Streptophyta; Magnoliopsida; Lamiales; Lamiaceae.
CCACCUCAUUCCAUCAUACCAAUCGCCUUCUUAGAGUUUAUCUGCACAUUCAAGCGGUGGGAUAUAUCUUUUUGAGUGAGAGAGAGCUUUAGAGUUCAAUCCACACCCUUUUUUUUUUUUCUUUUUCUAAUUUGAAAAAUUACACUAUAAUACAACCUAGAGGAAAGGUGAAAAUGAAAAUAAAAAUGAGAUUACAAUAAUAAUAUACAUGAUAUGGCUGUAUCUAAACAUUAGAACUGACUUGCAAAUUGCAAUAUCUAUUUGAAAUAAAAGAAUGUAGGACACUAACAUAAUUAUAAUCAAAUAGAUUAGUGUGAUGAGAUUGAGAUAGUGAGGUCUAAAUUGAGAGGACAAGACUGAGAUGAAGUUGAGGUAGUAAGUUCAUUGGGUUGUGCUAUUUCACUCAUAUUUAUAUUUGUCCAUCCAAAUUCAAUCUCACUUUCUUCUUCUUCCUCUUCUCUCUCAUCCAUGAUUUCCAUGCUUCCAUUUCCACCUUGCACCUUUAAAUAAUCAAACACACACAAUUAUAUAUGCACGUGGCUAUGGAUAAUAAAAACUUAUUUUAAAAUAUAUAUUUAUAUACAUAUAAAUAUGUGUGUGUGAUAUAUAUUAUUUAUAUAUAUAGGGGAUGACUAAAAUAAAAAUACUUCUUAAAAUAUAAAAUAUGAACCAUUUUUAGCCAUUAGAUCAUUAAGAUCUACAGUUGAUUCGUCAUCUUGUUUGAUGAAUUCAUGGUCCAGUAUUCGAAUAUCAUAGGUAGCAAAAAUUUAAUUUUAUAUAUUUCAAUAUAUA